GAUGAACGCUAGCUACAGGCUUAACACAUGCAAGUCGAGGGGUAACGAGAGGAAAGCUUGCUUUCCUUGUCGACGACCGGCGCACGGGUGAGUAACGCGUAUCCAACCUGCCCCCAACUAGGGAAUAACCUUGCGAAAGUAAGACUAAUACCCUAUAAUUUCCUCAGAUGUCAUCUGACGAGGAAUAAAGAUUUAUCGGUUGUGUAUGGGGAUGCGUCUGAUUAGCUUGUUGGCGGGGUAACGGCCCACCAAGGCAACGAUCAGUAGGGGUUCUGAGAGGAAGGUCCCCCACAUUGGAACUGAGACACGGUCCAAACUCCUACGGGAGGCAGCAGUGAGGAAUAUUGGUCAAUGGGCGGAAGCCUGGACCAGCCAAGUAGCGUGCAGGAUGACGGCCCUAUGGGUUGUAAACUGCUUUUAUACAGGAAUAAAGUUAGCCACGUGUGGUUAUUUGUAGGUACUGUAUGAAUAAGGACCGGCUAAUUCCGUGCCAGCAGCCGCCGUAA
RNAcentral lists this ribosomal RNA (506 nucleotides) under uncultured bacterium. Its description in RNAcentral is "partial 16S ribosomal RNA". It matches the Rfam family "Bacterial small subunit ribosomal RNA", at positions 28 to 523 of the family's 1533-position model. The record is from RNAcentral.